AUGAGACAGGAAAAGUAAUGAGAUAGAUAUCUUUCUGUAACCUCACCGAGAGAUUAGAGAUAGAUGUUAAUCAAGACUAGAAGGUGAGCUUUUAAGGAAGAAGUGCGUCACCUUGGAGUACAAGAUCCUUAAGGAUGAUGAAGGGAUGAUGAUAAUGGAGUAAGAGAGAGAAAGAGAUGAGAGGAAAUGUUAUUUUGGAUUGAUACCUUCUUAAGAAAAUGACAAAGAGUACUUAAAGGGAAAUGCUGGCAAGGUCUAACACGUGACCAGUAAACCGGUAUGCAAACCGGGAAUCUUAUGAAAAUAGUAAAAGAGCCGUUAAGAGAUAAGAUCAGAGGAAUAUGCUGUCACAAUACCUCCUGCUUGAAAUCAUCCUUGUCCUCAAGGAUGGAAUUGAGGAUGCUUGGCGAUGAAGUCUUUGUAGAAUUCCCAAGUGGCCUGUUCAGGAGUCUCACCCUUCCAUUGGACUAGGACCUUAGUGACAGCAGCAUUACGACGCUUAGCCAUCUUAGUUUCCAAAAUCUGCUCCGGUUCCUUAGAAGUGCCAAGAUCAACAUAGAAUUGAGGAAGACCUGAUGAAGCAGCUUGAGGGUUUGGGCACAGCUUCAGCUGGCUCACAUGGAAUACGUUGUGAAUGGCUGCGCCCGCGGGUAAAUCCAGUCGAUAAGCAGCAGACCCGACAGUGUCUAGAACACGGAAAGGACCAUAGUAGCGAGGAGAUAGUUUGUGUGGUACCUUCCUGUUCUUAAGUGAGUUCUGCCUGUAGGGUUGAAGCUUCAGGUAAACAUAGCUACCCACUGUGAAGGACCGUGGAGAGCGAUGAGAAUCAGCAGCUUGCUUGUUUCUGUUCUGAGCGCGCAGCAAGUGAAACUUCAACAUAGAGAUGACCUCUUCGCGUUUUUGUAGGCUCCGAUCAACCAAAGCAGAUUUGCUUUCACCUGGAAGGUAUGGAAGAUGAGUAGGAGGAGGUUGACCGUAGACUAUUCCGAAUGGUGUGCUCCUGAUGGCAGAGUGGUAUGUUGUGUUGUACCACCAUUCAGCAAGAGGGAGCCAUUUGCUCCAUGUUUGCGGAGUCUCAGCGGUCAUACAUCUUAGGUAAGUCUCCAAGGUCUUAUUAGUUACCUCUGUCUGCCCGUCAGUUUGAGGAUGGUAGGCAGUAGAGUAACUUAGAUCAACCCCAUGGACCCGGAAGAGCUCUUUCCAAACGUCACUGAGGAAUGUAGGAUCGCGAUCGCUGAUUAUGUCUUUAGGGAGGCCGUGAAGCUUGAACACAUUGUCUAGAUAGGCUUGUGCAACUUCAAUAGCAGUGUAGGGGUGGGAGAGUGCUAGGAAGUGAGCCUGUUUGCUCAACCUAUCAAUAACCACCAAUAUACAGUGUUUGCCAGCAGACUGUGGGAGACCUUCAAUGAAGUCUAAGCUGACUGACUCCCAGACACCGUUAGGGAUUGGUAAUGGAUUCAGUAGACCCGGCUUGGCCACAUUCUCAUACUUGUUCUUCUGACAGACAUCGCAAUUGCGCACAUAGUUCUGCACCUCGAGGCUCAUUUUUGACCAAAAGAAGAGUGAUUUGAUCCUGUGGAGGGUUGCAUCUCUGCCUGAGUGUCCUCCUAUAGCCGAGUCGUGGAGCCAACGGAAGAUGUGUGUUUUUAUGUUCACAUCGUUCCCCACGACGAGUUUUCCCUUGCGUCUUAGUUCCUCGUUGAUGAAGGUGUAAGAAGGGUGGGAUUUAGGGUCAGCUUGCAGCUCAGAUAUGAUCUUGCGUAGCUUAGGAUCACUCUGCCAGAGCAAACGCAGAGAGUCGUAGAAGCCUUGGUGCGCUUGAGACAACGUCAUGUGUAGCAGUUGCGAACCAGAAACCCUUGAGAGAGCAUCUGCAGCCACGUUUUCUUUUCCCAACUUGUAUUGGAUCUCAAAGUCGUACCCCAUCAGCUUAGAGAGCCACAUGUGUUGAAAUGGUGUUGUUGCUUUUUGCUCGACCAUAUACUUGAGGCUCUUUUGAUCCGUUUUGAUGAUAAAACGUCGAUGAGCAAGGUAAGCGCUCCAAGCUUGGACUGCGUGGACAACAGCCAUUAAUUCUUUCUCGUAGACAGAGAGGGCUUGGUUUCUUGGACCCAGAGCUCUGCUGAUGAAGCAUAUGGGGUGGUUGUCCUGCAUAAGGACUGCUCCAAUUCCAGUGUUGCUAGCAUCAGUUUCAACCACAAACGUCUUGUCGAAGUCUGGUAGUGCUAGGACCGGAGAUGAGGAAAGCGCAGACUUGAGGUUAUCCAGAGCUGUAUCAGCUUCGGAGUUCCAUAGGAAACCAUCUUUCUGCAGCAGAGUAGUGAGAGGACGAGACAAAACGCUAUACCCUCGUAUGAAGCGUCUGUAGUAGUUAGCAAGGCCGAGGAAACUGCGCAGUUGCUUAACAGAGGUAGGAGUAGGCCAUUGCUUGAUAGCGGCGAUCUUGGAGGGGUCUGUUCUUACUCCUUCAGCUGAAAUAAAGUGACCGAGAUACUCAAUUUCAGUCGCUCCAAAGGUGCACUUAGAAGCUUUGAGGUAGAGCUGUUGAUGUCGCAAGAUGGAGAACACUUCCUGUAGGUGUUGGAGGUGCGACUCCCAGUCAGGGCUGUAGACCAAAAUGUCAUCGAAGAAGACCAAAAGGAACUUCCCAGAUAUGUCUUGGAAAACAUGGUUCAUCAGAAUCUGGAAUGUGCAUGGAGCAUUAGAGAGGCCGAAAGGCAUUACCAAAUACUCGUAGUGGCCUGCGUGAGAUUUGAAGGCAGUCUUGUACACAUCACUUGGCGACAUCCGUAGUUGAUGGAAGCCUGCGCGAAGAUCCAGUUUGGUGAAGUAUUUCGCUCCACCUAACUCAUCCAGGAGAUCUUCAAGCAGAGGUAUUGGGUAUUUAUCUUUAACAGUUUGGUUGUUGAGGCCUCUGUAGUCCACACAUAGUCUCCAUGAUCCAUCUUUCUUUUUGACUAGGACAAUGGGAGAGGCGUACGGGCUAGAGCUGCACUGUAUUAUACCCUGUUGUAGCAUCUCCUUCAGCAUUUCAUCAAUGGCAUCUUUUUGCAGAGAAGAGUAUCUGUAGGGUCGUAGGUUAACAAGGUUCGAACCGGACUGCAGGGGUAUCUGAUGAUCAAAGCCCUCGCGAAAUGGUGGAAGCGCAGUUGGCUCGGAGAACACAUCGGAGAAGGAUUCCAGUAGUUGUGUCAGAGCUGGAUCCUUGGAGAAUUCACUCUGUGGCGCUGAGAUAUGGCAGUAGAGAGACUCUGGUGAGAGCGGAGAUGACUCUGCUGCUCGCUCCCGCACUUGUAGCAAAGCUAUCUGUGGUUGUUGGAGCAUAAGCUUAUUCAAGCUGGCUCCUUUGAUCAGUUUGCAACCCGUUUUUGUAACGCCCCGCAAGUGAUGUUGCAGACCGUUGAAAGUGAACUCCAUACUGAGGUUCAGGAAGUCCCAGAGGAUAGGCCCAAGAGUGGAUAACCACUGGACUCCAAGUACAAGCUCACAGCAGUCCAAAGGCAGUGUGCGAAUCUCCGAGGUAAAGGUGUAGUUUUGAACCGUCCAAGUGAAGUUGCUGCAUUUAAAAUUUGUCACCAAGUUGUUCCCAUUUGCAGCAGCCACAGACAUUGGAUUUACUGCUUCUAAGCGACAACCCAGCUCGUUGGCAACCUUGAUGUCGAGAAAGUUGUGUGUACUGCCUGGGUCAAUCAAGAUAAAGAGCUUCCUUUUUCCAUACUGGCCAACCACUCUCAUGCAGUUGAACGUCGUCGAGCCACUGAGAGCGUUCACUGAAAUGGUAGGGGUUGGUUCGGAUGUAUUCUCCUCGAGGGUUUGGUCUGGGAAGAUCUCAGCAUCAUCUACGUCGACACUCUCAGCGUCAUCAUCGUCACCGUCCAUAACGAAAAUCUGAGAGCGUUUGUGCUUGAGUUGGUGCCCUGGUGUGAAUGCCUCGUCACAGAACAUACACAAUCCUUUGGCACGACGCUCCUGCAUCUCUUGGUAACUGUAUUUUCGGGUGGGUUUGUCGUUGGUGUUUUUGGGGAUAAAGGUGGGUUUGUUUGGUGGUGUGGGUAGUAUGGGUGUUGUAUUCUGAGGUUUAAAGGGUGGGUUUUUGUUUGUUGAGGGAUUGAAGGGAGCUCGCUGGUAACGGUUGGGUGUGUGGGCAAGGGCGGUUUCGUGGAGGCAAGCUAUUUGUGCUGCUGCAGACACUGUGGUUACUCCGAACUGACGCACAUGGAGGGAAAGAUGUGGGUUCAUGUUCGUCAGGAAUAUACUGAGAGCGUGAGCCUCAGGGAGAGUGAGUCGAGUUCUAGCGUUCUCGAACUUGUCCAGAUAGGUGAUGAUAGAGUCAGAGCCUUGAUGAAGAGCCACCAGAUCUGCAAGUGGGUCGUCAAAAAGGGCGUUGAAGCGACUCGAUAAAGCUAUCACGUAGUCGGUCCAAGAGGGAAAAACCCCAAAGCGCUCCGCCAUGAAGUUGCGGUGCCAUUGGAGAGAUUUUCCGCGGAGGUGCAUCGCAGCAAGUCGGACCUUGAGCUCCGGCGUGGUGCCGUCUAGGUCGAAGAACUGCUCGCAGAUACAGAUCCAAUCGCGGAGGUCUGUACCGUCAAAGGUGGGAAAACCCACUUUUGUUAAUCGUCCAGCGAGACCGUUGGUAACUGGGGAAGGAGGAGGGUCUCUGGUCGGCUGUUGCGGAAAACGGAAUAGAUCCGGUGGGUCUGGGGGUCUGUUGGGCUCGGCGGAGGUGUGGUCCAUCAUUUGUGAGCCACCAGCGUCGUCGACGGGUCUUUUACCGGCUGAUUGGAGCUGCAGAAGGUUCUCAAAGACCAGUCGUUCGAGCCUGUUGUAGCAGUCGUCGAGGGAGUCAGACCGUUGACGAAGCUCAGAAGAUUGGCGUUCCUGGUUUGUACGGAUCUCUUCGACCAGCUCCAGGAGCGUCUUUUCUUGGUUUCUCGUUUCCACCAUGAUGAAAUCCCUAGGAUUCGACUGCUCUGAUACCAAAAUGAGACAGGAAAAGUAAUGAGAUAGAUAUCUUUCCGUAACCUCACCGAGAGAUUAGAGAUAGAUGUUAAUCAAGACUAGAAGGUGAGCUUUUAAGGAAGAAGUGCGUCACCUUGGAGUACAAGAUCCUUAAGGAUGAUGAAGGGAUGAUGAUAAUGGAGUAAGAGAGAGAAAGAGAUGAGAGGAAAUGUUAUUUUGGAUUGAUACCUUCUUAAGAAAAUGACAAAGAGUACUUAAAGGGAAAUGCUGGCAAGGUCUAACACGUGACCAGUAAACCGGUAUGCAAACCGGGAAUCUUAUGAAAAUAGUAAAAGAGCCGUUAAGAGAUAAGAUCAGAGGAAUAUGCUGUCACA
This 5333-nucleotide long non-coding RNA is filed under the name Brassica rapa (field mustard). RNAcentral's name for it is "long non-coding RNA (BRAP_LNC004147)". The record is from RNAcentral. Lineage: Eukaryota; Viridiplantae; Streptophyta; Magnoliopsida; Brassicales; Brassicaceae.